UACGUAGGGUGCGAGCGUUAAUCGGAUUUACUGGGUUUAAAGGGUGCGCAGGCGGUUGUUUAAGUCAGGGGUGAAAGCCCUAUGCUCAACAUAGGGAUUGCCUUUGAUACUGAACGGCUAGAGUGAAGAUGGAGUGGGUGGAAUGUGUUGUGUAGCGGUGAAAUGCAUAGAUAUAACACAGAACACCGAUCGCGAAGGCAGCUCACUAAUUUUCAACUGACGCUCAUGCACGAAAGCGUGGGGAUCAAACAGG
Molecule: ribosomal RNA, 253 nt
Filed under: uncultured microorganism
Description: partial 16S ribosomal RNA
Rfam family: Bacterial small subunit ribosomal RNA
Source: RNAcentral